This 496-nucleotide ribosomal RNA is filed under the name uncultured bacterium. RNAcentral's name for it is "partial 16S ribosomal RNA". It matches the Rfam family "Bacterial small subunit ribosomal RNA", at positions 28 to 507 of the family's 1533-position model. The record is from RNAcentral.
GAUGAACGCUGGCGGCGUGCCUAAUACAUGCAAGUCGAGCGAACAGAUGAGGAGCUUGCUCUUCUGACGUUAGCGGCGGACGGGUGAGUAACACGUGGAUAACCUACUUAUAUGACUGGGAUAACUUCGGGAAACCGGAGCUACUACUGGAUCAUAUAUUGAACCGCAUGGUUCAAUAGUGAAAGACGGUUUUGCUGUCACUUAUAGACGGAUCCGCGCCGCAUUAGCUAGUUGGUAAGGUAACGGCUUACCAAGGGAACGAUGCGUAGCCGACCUGAGAGGGGGAUCGGCCACACUGGAACUGGGACACGUUCCAGACUCCAACGGAGGCAGCAGUAGGGAAUCUUCCGCAAUGGGCGAAAGCCUGACGGAGCAACACCGCGUGAGUGAUGAAGGUCUUCGGGUCGUAAAGCUCUGUUAUUAGGGAAGAACAAAUGUGUAAGUAACUAUGCACGUCUUGACGGUACCUAAACAGAAAGUCACGGCUAACUACGUG